Molecule: ribosomal RNA, 407 nt
Filed under: bacterium
Lineage: Bacteria
Description: partial 16S ribosomal RNA
Rfam family: Bacterial small subunit ribosomal RNA
Source: RNAcentral
UGGGGAAUAUUGGACAAUGGACCGAGAGUCUGAUCCAGCAAUUCUGUGUGCACGAUGAAGUUUUUCGGAAUGUAAAGUGCUUUCAGUUGGGAAGAAAGAAAUGACGGUACCAACAGAAGAAGUGACGGCUAAAUACGUGCCAGCAGCCGCGGUAAUACGUAUGUCACGAGCGUUAUCCGGAUUUAUUGGGCGUAAAGCGCGUCUAGGUGGUUAUGUAAGUCUGAUGUGAAAAUGCAGGGCUCAAAUCUGUAUUGCGUUGGAAACUGUAUAACUAGAGUACUGGAGAGGUAAGCGGAACUACAAGUGUAGAGGUGAAAUUCGUAGAUAUUUGUAGGAAUGCCGAUGGGGAAGCCAGCUUACUGGACAGAUACUGACGCUAAAGCGCGAAAGCGUGGGUAGCAAACAGG